CCUUAAAUACAUCUCAAGAGACUUGGACCGGGAGCUUGUUAUGUACCUAGAUGAUGCAGUAGUCGCAGGUAUACUCGUUGUGGUAGGGGCCUGUGUUUUUUUUGGUGGGUUUAUUUAUUACGCAGUAAAAGAUGCCCACAAAAAGAAAAAGUAGUGAUGUUCGAUCCUGUCA
Molecule: small RNA, 172 nt
Filed under: Terasakiispira papahanaumokuakeensis
Lineage: Bacteria; Pseudomonadati; Pseudomonadota; Gammaproteobacteria; Oceanospirillales
Description: Halomonadaceae bacterium PH27A PhrS
Rfam family: PhrS
Source: Rfam by way of RNAcentral